This 497-nucleotide ribosomal RNA is filed under the name uncultured bacterium. RNAcentral's name for it is "partial 16S ribosomal RNA". It matches the Rfam family "Bacterial small subunit ribosomal RNA", at positions 28 to 507 of the family's 1533-position model. The record is from RNAcentral.
GAUGAACGCUGGCGGCGUGCCUAAUACAUGCAAGUCGAGCGAACAGACGAGGAGCUUGCUCCUCUGACGUUAGCGGCGGACGGGUGAGUAACACGUGGAUAACCUACCUAUAAGACUGGGAUAACUCCGGGAAACCGGAGCUAAUACCGGAUAAUAUAUUGAACCGCAUGGUUCAAUAGUGAAAGACGGUUUUGCUGUCACUUAUAGAUGGAUCCGCGCCGCAUUAGCUAGUUGGUAAGGUAACGGCUUACCAAGGCAACGAUGCGUAGCCGACCUGAGAGGGUGAUCGGCCACACUGGAACUGAGACACGGUCCAGACUCCUACGGGAGGCAGCAGUAGGGAAUCUUCCGCAAUGGGCGAAAGCCUGACGGAGCAACGCCGCGUGAGUGAUGAAGGUCUUCGGAUCGUAAAACUCUGUUAUUAGGGAAGAACAAAUGUGUAAGCAACUAUGCACGUCUUGACGGUACCUAAUCAGAAAGCCACGGCUAACUACGUG